RNAcentral lists this transfer RNA (66 nucleotides) under Ischnosoma splendidum. Its description in RNAcentral is "tRNA-Leu". The record is from RNAcentral. Lineage: Eukaryota; Metazoa; Arthropoda; Insecta; Coleoptera; Staphylinidae.
UCUAAUGUGACAGAAUAGUGUGGUGGAUUUAAACCCCGUUUAUAAAGAUUUCUUCUUUCUUUAGAA